CGUGUAGGCGGGUCUUUAAGUCAGGGGUGAAAUGCCAAGGCUCAACCUUGGAACCGCCUUUGAUACUGGAGAUCUUGAGUCCGGGAGAGGUGAGUGGAACUGCGAGUGUAGAGGUGAAAUUCGUAGAUAUUCGCAAGAACACCAGUGGCGAAGGCGGCUCACUGGCCCGGAACUGACGCUGAGACGCGAAAGCGUGGGGAGCAAACAGGAUUAGAUACCCUGGUAGUCCACGCUGUAAACGAUGGAUGCUAGCCGUUGGGGAGCUUGCUCUUCAGUGGCGCAGCUAACGCUUUAAGCAUCCCGCCUGGGGAGUACGGUCGCAAGAUUAAA
Molecule: ribosomal RNA, 330 nt
Filed under: uncultured bacterium
Lineage: Bacteria
Description: bacterial SSU rRNA
Rfam family: Bacterial small subunit ribosomal RNA
Source: RNAcentral